UAAAAUAGCAAAUGAAAAUUCGGAAAUAAAUCCACUGACAAGAAAAUCUUUACAAGAUUAUUAUUGGCAGAUAAGGCCCUCUCAUAUUUAGCUUCAGAACUUGAAGAAACAGAUACUAAAGGAAUAAAGCCAAUUACCUUGAUGCCUCAAAUUUCUUUCACUGCAGAA
Molecule: long non-coding RNA, 168 nt
Filed under: Dasypus novemcinctus (nine-banded armadillo)
Lineage: Eukaryota; Metazoa; Chordata; Mammalia; Cingulata; Dasypodidae
Description: lncRNA (ENSDNOG00000051496.1)
Source: RNAcentral